UACCAGCACCCCGAGUGGUCGGGACGAUUAUUGGGCCUAAAGCAUCCGUAGCCGGCCUUACAAGUCCUCCGUUAAAUCCAGCUGCUUAACAGAUGGGCUGCGGAGGAUACUAUAAGACUAGGAGGCAGGAGAGGCAAGCGGUACUCAGUGGGUAGGGGUAAAAUCCUGCAAUCCUCCGGGGACGACCAGUGGCGAAGGCGCUACACUAGAACGGCUCUGACAGUGAGGGACGAAGCCCUGGGGCGCAAACCGG
Molecule: ribosomal RNA, 253 nt
Filed under: uncultured bacterium
Lineage: Bacteria
Description: partial 16S ribosomal RNA
Rfam family: Archaeal small subunit ribosomal RNA
Source: RNAcentral